ACAACCCUCAGGCCCUGGUGCCUGGUGUUGGGGCACUACAGCAUGCUGUAGGCUCUGAAAUCCAGUGGCGGGACCGCUGUAAACCCGGGCGUAGUAACUUUCCGUCGUCCAGGGUGUUCCGGCGCGCCCCAGCCGUUAAACCCACCACAUUAUCAA
RNAcentral lists this unclassified non-coding RNA (156 nucleotides) under uncultured Cephalotheca. Its description in RNAcentral is "sequence contains ITS2". The record is from RNAcentral. Lineage: Eukaryota; Fungi; Ascomycota; Sordariomycetes; Cephalothecales; Cephalothecaceae.